GGUGUGGUAAUAUAUAUUCAAGGUUUCAAAAUAUGACAGAAAAGUAAGUUUUCAAUUAUAGCUAUGAUGCAAGAGAACUAGAACACAAUUAGAUAAACAAGCCCAAAAGGAGGAAGAACCUGUUACCUGUGGUGGAUGCAGUCCACCGGAAACGUUCAUUGUAAAUCUCGAACACGAAAUUGGAGUCUAUCGUACUGGGCUGGGGCAUGAUCAGAAGUGCGGUCGCAGCAAGUAAGCUUGUCGAAAGGCGCGAAUUGGGCUAGUUACAGCAACUUGUGGGCUUGAGUGGCCUGGCAAACCUGUACAUGAAGAGGAGGGCCUUGAAUUGGGCUUGAAGCAAUGGGCGGGCCUGAUGAGUCUGCUGGGUCUUGAGGAUGAUAGUGUUAUUUUGAUGAUUAACAAGCAAUUAUCUAGAGCAUACUAUAAGUUAAAUUGAUACUUCAUUUAUAAGUUCAUUACUCUCAGUAUAUUUGUUUAAUUGAAAAUGGAUAAAUGGCCUUGUUCAUUUGGAUGAAUCUAACCUUGAGAAUGCAGCAAAGUGUGGUUUGAGUCGACCCAUAGGUUGAUUGGGUCGACCCCGGC
This 582-nucleotide long non-coding RNA is filed under the name Phoenix dactylifera (date palm). RNAcentral describes it as "long non-coding RNA (PDAC_LNC015228)". Lineage: Eukaryota; Viridiplantae; Streptophyta; Magnoliopsida; Arecales; Arecaceae. The record is from RNAcentral.